GCAGGGGGAGGAGCUACGCGGACAGCGCCGAAGGGGGAGGAGUUACACGGACAGAGCCGCAGAGGGAAGAGCUACACGGACACAGCCGCAGGGGGAGGAGCUACACGUACAGGGCCGCGGAGCUACACUGACUGACUGAGUCCCGAUAUGAGCCAGAGUGAAGUGUGCGGAGCCGGGGGCCCCGAUUGGUGAAGCUGAUCACAUGCUCCUCUGACCCCUCUGCAUCAUGGGAUUCUGCUGCUGGCUGCUAGUGAGAUCAUCAUCCGGGACUUCUCACGGCCUCAGGGGUUGGGUAUAGGAGCUGCGCGCCGUUCCCUUAUGCUGCAAUCCUUAAAUGGCUUCCCGUUACCGGCAACUACAGCAGAACUAAAGCAUUGAAAAGCCCCAUCACACUCACUUUUGUUAAGGCCUGAAGUUGGUUUUACGUGGAAGAAACAGGUCCACACACAGUAACAGUAUUUCUACUUGUUCUUUAUGUGUAACAUAAAGCACAAGCAGGGAUGAGAACCAUCUGAUUUCAGACAGAUAUCUUGCACCAAGGACGCUGAUACCGCUGCCUUCACAAGUGGAUGGAUGGGGGUGGUUCCGCUGCGCAGAUACGUGCAACUGUGAAUACAGGUAACUGCACCUUCUGUGUUAUAGGUGAUGUUACACAGCAGUGUUUCCUAUCUCUGUGAGGAGGUCCUGUGGUCUGGAUUCAGGAACCAGGACCUGCUGUCAUGGAUGACCAACAACAGUGAUAAGAGAGCAGCUGUGUCCCUGGAAACCAGAGCACCCAGAGGAAACUCACGCAAACACUGGGAGAACAUACAAGCUCCACACCGAUGACCUGGAAUUUAACUCCCAACCACAGUGCUGUAAGGAAAGCAUGCUAUCCACUAUGCCAACUGUGCUGCUCCAUACCGCAACUUCAAGUAUUGGGACUUCUGCUUUGACUCUCUCUAAAGUACCCAUCCCACGUUAUAUCUAAAGUGUUUGUGGGAUCGAAAGAGUAAAGCUAGGAUGUGGCGUGUACAAGUAAAAAUGUAGUGUUUCUUUCAGUGUAUAAAGUGGGUAUGGAUGCGUUGGGAAAAGACAGUUAACAUGUUCACUUUAAUGUUUGUAGCUGCCAUCUUCCUCGUCAUGAUUCUCCUGAAGGAAGCUAUGACGGCAUUACAUAUGUUGGAUCAGGGCUGACGUUCCAAGCUUCCCCUGGCGACCUCAAGAAGGAGUGUUUUAGAAUAAACACUUUGACGUGUUGGCACAAUAAGUUAUACGGUAUUCAUAUGAUCUAAAUUAUUUGAUCUGCCUCUGGUCUAAUCCU
Pseudophryne corroboree (corroboree frog) is the source of this 1303-nucleotide long non-coding RNA. RefSeq lists it as uncharacterized. The transcript has 6 exons. The record is from RefSeq and is a predicted model, not a curated record. Lineage: Eukaryota; Metazoa; Chordata; Amphibia; Anura; Myobatrachidae.